This 373-nucleotide ribosomal RNA is filed under the name uncultured organism. RNAcentral's name for it is "bacterial SSU rRNA". It matches the Rfam family "Bacterial small subunit ribosomal RNA", at positions 526 to 896 of the family's 1533-position model. The record is from RNAcentral.
CGGAGGGUGCAAGCGUUAUCCGGAUUCACUGGGUUUAAAGGGUGCGCAGGCGGGCUAUUAAGUCCGUGGUGAAAUCCCGGGGCUCAACCCGGAACUGCCAUGGAUACUAUUAGUCUUGAGUGUUGUUGAGGUGGGCGGAAUAGGUCAUGUAGCGGUGAAAUGCAUAGAUAUGACCUAGAACACCGAUUGCGAAGGCAGCUCACUGGACAAAUAUUGACGCUCAGGCACGAAAGCGUGGGGAUCAAACAGGAUUAGAUACCCUGGUAGUCCACGCCCUAAACGAUGAUUACUGGACGUUGGCGAUAUGACCGAUCAGCGUCUAUAUAAGCGAAAGCAUUAAGUAAUCCACCUGGGAAGUACGACCGCAAGGUUG